GACGAACGCUGGCGGCGUGCUUAACACAUGCAAGUCGAACGGAAAGGCCCUGCUUUUGUGGGGUGCUCGAGUGGCGAACGGGUGAGUAACACGUGAGUAACCUGCCCUUGACUUUGGGAUAACUUCAGGAAACUGGGGCUAAUACCGGAUAGGAGCUCCUGCUGCAUGGUGGGGGUUGGAAAGUUUCGGCGGUUGGGGAUGGACUCGCGGCUUAUCAGCUUGUUGGUGGGGUAGUGGCUUACCAAGGCUUUGACGGGUAGCCGGCCUGAGAGGGUGACCGGCCACAUUGGGACUGAGAUACGGCCCAGACUCCUACGGGAGGCAGCAGUGGGGAAUAUUGCACAAUGGUCGGAAGCCUGAUGCAGCAACGCCGCGUGCGGGAUGACGGCCUACGGGUUGUAAACCGCUUUCGCCUGUGACGAAGCGUGAGUGACGGUAAUGAGUAAAGAAGCACCGGCUAACUACGUG
RNAcentral lists this ribosomal RNA (468 nucleotides) under uncultured bacterium. Its description in RNAcentral is "partial 16S ribosomal RNA". It matches the Rfam family "Bacterial small subunit ribosomal RNA", at positions 28 to 507 of the family's 1533-position model. The record is from RNAcentral.